UUAGAUCGAAAGCUCCGGCGCCUAAGGAUGAGUCUGCGGACUAUCAGGUAGUAGUCAGGGUAAAGACCUGACUAGCCUACGACGGAUACGGGUUGUGAGAGCAAUAACCUGGAGAUGAUAUCUGAGACACGAUAUCAGGCCCUACGGGGCGCAGCAGGCGCGAAAACUUCGCAAUGUGCGAAAGCACGACGAGGGAAUCCCAAGUGCUAGCUCGUAAGAGUUAGCUGUUUUUAUGUCUAAAACGCAUAGAGAGUAAGAGCUGGGUAAGACGGGUGCCAGCCGCCGCGGUAAUACCUGCAGCUCAAGUGGUGGCCGCUAUUAUUGGGCCUAAAACGUCCGUAGCCGGUUUGUUAAAUGCCUAGGUAAAUCGUGUAGCUUAACUAUACGAAUUCUGGGUAGACUGGUAAACUUGAGACCGGGCGAGGCUAGAGGUACUCCUGGGGUAGAGGUGAAAUUCUGUAAUCCUAGGGGGACCACCAGUGGCGAAGGCGUCUAGCUAGAACGGGUCUGACGGUGAGGGACGAAGCCCUGGGGCGCAAACGGGAUUAGAUACCCCGGUAGUCCAGGGUGUAAACGCUGCUUGCUUGAUGUUAGUUGGGCUUCGGGCCCAAUUAGUGUCGGAGAGAAGUUGUUAAGCAAGCUGCCUGGGAAGUACGGCCGCAAGACUGAAACUUAAAGGAAUUGGCGGGGGAGCA
RNAcentral lists this ribosomal RNA (695 nucleotides) under uncultured archaeon. RNAcentral describes it as "bacterial SSU rRNA". It matches the Rfam family "Archaeal small subunit ribosomal RNA", at positions 182 to 878 of the family's 1478-position model. The record is from RNAcentral.